GAUGAACGCUGACAGAAUGCUUAACACAUGCAAGUCGAUGGGGAAGUGGUGCUUGCCCCAUGGCAACCAUGGCGGACGGGUGAGUAACGCGUAAGGGACUUACCUGCAGGACUGGGAUAACAGGGGGAAACUCCUGACAAGACCGGAUAAUGUCAUGGAGCUGCAUGGCUUUAUGAUGAAAGGAGACGCCUGCGGAGAGCCUUGCGUCCUAUUAGCUAGUUGGUGAGGUAAUGGCUCACCAAGGCGAAGAUAGGUAGCCGGCCUGAGAGGGUGGACGGCCACAAGGGGACUGAGAUACGGCACUUACUCCUACGGGAGGCAGCAGUGGGGAAUAUUGGACAAUGGGGGCAACCCUGAUCCAGCAAUUCUGUGUGCACGAAGAAGGUUUUCGGAGUGUAAAGUGCUUUCAGCAGGGAAGAGGUAAGUGACGGUACCUGCAGAAGAAGCGACGGCUAAAUACGUG
This 463-nucleotide ribosomal RNA is filed under the name uncultured bacterium. RNAcentral describes it as "partial 16S ribosomal RNA". It matches the Rfam family "Bacterial small subunit ribosomal RNA", at positions 28 to 507 of the family's 1533-position model. The record is from RNAcentral.